Molecule: long non-coding RNA, 253 nt
Filed under: Medicago truncatula (barrel medic)
Lineage: Eukaryota; Viridiplantae; Streptophyta; Magnoliopsida; Fabales; Fabaceae
Description: long non-coding RNA (MTRU_LNC005411)
Source: RNAcentral
AGGAGGAUGAGAAAGAAGAGGGUAAAGUAUCUGUAAGGGAUAUUGAUAUAGAAGAAACCGCGAAAGAAGGUAAAGAGAAGAAGAAGAAAAAAGAAGACAAGGAAGAGAAGAAGAAGAAAUCUGGAAAGGAUAAGACCAAUGAUCCUAGUAAGCUGAAACAGAAGCUUGAAAAAGUGAAUGCAAAGUUAGAAGCACUCUUGGAAAAGAAGGCUGAUCUAGAAAGGCAGAUUAAAGAAGGUGAAGAUGGAGGUCA